AUUGAACGCUGGCGGCGUGCCUAACACAUGCAAGUCGAGCGGUAACGCGGGGGGCAACCCUGGCGACGAGCGGCGGACGGGUGAGUAAUGCUUGGGAAUCUACCCAGUAGUGGGGAAUAGCCGGUCGAAAGAUUGGCUAAUUCCGCAUACGCCCCCUCUUCAUACCGAGGAGAAGGGAAAGCGGGGGACCGUAAGGCCUCGCGCUAUCGGAUGAGCCCAAGUCGGAUUAGCUAGUUGGUAGGGAACGGCCUACCAAGGCGACAAUCCGUAGCUGGUCUGAGAGGACGACCAGCCACACUGGGACUGAGACACGGCCCAGACUCCUACGGGAGGCAGCAGUGGGGAAUAUUGGACAAUGGGGGCAACCCUGAUCCAGCGACGCCGCGUGUGUGAAGAAGGCCUGCGGGUUGUAAAGCACUUUUAGUGGGGAUG
This 432-nucleotide ribosomal RNA is filed under the name uncultured bacterium. RNAcentral describes it as "bacterial SSU rRNA". It matches the Rfam family "Bacterial small subunit ribosomal RNA", at positions 29 to 447 of the family's 1533-position model. The record is from RNAcentral.